AGAGUUUGAUCAUGGCUCAGGAUGAACGCUAGCUACAGGCUUAACACAUGCAAGUCGAGGGGAAACGAUAUUGGAAGCUUGCUUCCGAUAGGCGUCGACCGGCGCACGGGUGAGUAACGCGUAUCCAACCUGCCCACCACUUGGGGAUAACCUUGCGAAAGUAAGACUAAUACCCAAUGAUAUCUCUAGAAGACAUCUGAAAGAGAUUAAAGAUUUAUCGGUGAUGGAUGGGGAUGCGUCUGAUUAGCUUGUUGGCAGGGUAACGGCCCACCAAGGCAACGAUCAGUAGGGGUUCUGAGAGGAAGGUCCCCCACAUUGGAACUGAGACACGGUCCAAACUCCUACGGGAGGCAGCAGUGAGGAAUAUUGGUCAAUGGACGAGAGUCUGAACCAGCCAAGUAGCGUGCAGGAAGACGGCCCUAUGGGUUGUAAACUGCUUUUAUAAGGGAAUAAAGUGAGAGUCGUGACUCUUUUUGCAUGUACCUUAUGAAUAAGGACCGGCUAAUUCCGUGCCAGCAGCCGCGGUAAUACGGAAGGUCCGGGCGUUAUCCGGAUUUAUUGGGUUUAAAGGGAGCGUAGGCCGGAGAUUAAGCGUGUUGUGAAAUGUAGACGCUCAACGUCUGCACUGCAGCGCGAACUGGUUUCCUUGAGUACGCACAAAGUGGGCGGAAUUCGUGGUGUAGCGGUGAAAUGCUUAGAUAUCACGAAGAACUCCGAUUGCGAAGGCAGCUCACUGGAGCGCAACUGACGCUGAAGCUCGAAAGUGCGGGUAUCGAACAGGAUUAGAUACCCUGGUAGUCCGCACGGUAAACGAUGGAUGCCCGCUGUUGGUCUGAAUAGGUCAGCGGCCAUGCGAAAGCAUUAAGCAUCCCACCUGGGGAGUACGCCGGCAACGGUGAAACUCAAAGGAAUUGACGGGGGCCCGCACAAGCGGAGGAACAUGUGGUUUAAUUCGAUGAUACGCGAGGAACCUUACCCGGGCUUGAAUUGCAGAGGAAGGAUUUGGAGACAAUGACGCCCUUCGGGGCCUCUGUGAAGGUGCUGCAUGGUUGUCGUCAGCUCGUGCCGUGAGGUGUCGGCUUAAGUGCCAUAACGAGCGCAACCCCUCUCCUUAGUUGCCAUCAGGUUAAGCUGGGCACUCUGGGGACACUGCCACCGUAAGGUGUGAGGAAGGUGGGGAUGACGUCAAAUCAGCACGGCCCUUACGUCCGGGGCUACACACGUGUUACAAUGGCAGGUACAGAGAGACGGU
Molecule: ribosomal RNA, 1252 nt
Filed under: metagenome
Description: bacterial SSU rRNA
Rfam family: Bacterial small subunit ribosomal RNA
Source: RNAcentral